Molecule: long non-coding RNA, 202 nt
Filed under: Lathyrus oleraceus (garden pea)
Lineage: Eukaryota; Viridiplantae; Streptophyta; Magnoliopsida; Fabales; Fabaceae
Description: Pisum sativum (pea) long non-coding RNA (PSAT_LNC014033)
Source: RNAcentral
UGGGAUCCACUCAUGUGAAAUCGUGUGCAGAUUUGCAAGUGGAAACACAAGUCAUCAUUAGUCAGUAAUUUCCCGAAUUCUGCAUCAAUAUGGCUUUGCAGUGUUGAUGAAUGAAGUGGGCAAAGGCUUCCAUGGCAAGGUUGGAGGAACUUUUCAGGUUCUGAGGUUUCCAACAAGCAACCAAUGGAGAUGUGGCUCGAAU